AGGACUAACGCUGGCGGCGUGCCUAACACAUGCAAGUCGAACGAAGUAGCAAUACUUAGUGGCAGACGGGUGAGUAACACGUAGUCAACCUGCCCUUCAAUGGGGGAUAACUAGCCGAAAGGUUAGCUAAUACCGCAUACGAUCUCUGAGUGGCAUCACUCGGCGAUGAAAGGAGUAAUCCGUUGAAGGAGGGGACUGCGUCCCAUUAGUUAGUUGGUGGGGUAAUGGCCUACCAAGACUCCGAUGGGUAGCUGGAUUGAGAGAGCGACCAGCCACACUGGAACUGAGACACGGUCCAGACUCCUACGGGAGGCAGCAGUGAGGAAUUUUCCGCAAUGGGGGAAACCCUGACGGAGCGACGCCGCGUGUGGGAAGAAGGCCUUCGGGUCGUAAACCACUGUCGAGGGGGACGAUAUUGACGGUACCCCUGGAGGAAGCCCCGGCUAACUACGCGCCAGCAGCCGC
This 465-nucleotide ribosomal RNA is filed under the name uncultured bacterium. RNAcentral describes it as "SSU rRNA". It matches the Rfam family "Bacterial small subunit ribosomal RNA", at positions 26 to 518 of the family's 1533-position model. The record is from RNAcentral.